GGGGCUAGCAGAAACAGAUGUAAGAGACUUUGGCAAAAUGAUGGUGGUAUUAAUCACUGGAUGCCAAAAUGCGGAUGAAGCUUGUUAUUUGUCCUAUGAUAAAUGGGUGAAAGCUGAAAAGGAAAUGGCCAUGGAUCAGCGAAUUGCGGUUGGCGCCGAUUCAGAAGAGUUAGAACGAGCAUUAAGAAUUGCAUUUUGGUGCUUACAAGAUGAUGAACGUAUGAGGCCGCCAAUGGGAGAGGUAAUCAAGGUACUGGAGGGAACUCUGACUGUCGAUCCUCCACCACCUCCUUUUGCUCAUAAUCAACAGUGGCCACCUGAUGACGAAUCACCAUCUGAAUCAUAUUCAGCACCGUAGAAGUUCUAAUUCGUAUUUUUUAUUCCCAUUAAGUCAUCUGUUGCUG
RNAcentral lists this unclassified non-coding RNA (404 nucleotides) under Hevea brasiliensis (rubber tree). Lineage: Eukaryota; Viridiplantae; Streptophyta; Magnoliopsida; Malpighiales; Euphorbiaceae. The record is from RNAcentral.